Molecule: ribosomal RNA, 1257 nt
Filed under: Vreelandella boliviensis
Lineage: Bacteria; Pseudomonadati; Pseudomonadota; Gammaproteobacteria; Oceanospirillales; Halomonadaceae
Description: bacterial SSU rRNA
Rfam family: Bacterial small subunit ribosomal RNA
Source: RNAcentral
AUGCUGACGAGCGGCGGACGGGUGAGUAAUGCAUAGGAAUCUGCCCGGUAGUGGGGGAUAACCUGGGGAAACCCAGGCUAAUACCGCAUACGUCCUACGGGAGAAAGGGGGCUUCGGCUCCCGCUAUUGGAUGAGCCUAUGUCGGAUUAGCUAGUUGGUGAGGUAAAGGCUCACCAAGGCAACGAUCCGUAGCUGGUCUGAGAGGAUGAUCAGCCACAUCGGGACUGAGACACGGCCCGAACUCCUACGGGAGGCAGCAGUGGGGAAUAUUGGACAAUGGGGGCAACCCUGAUCCAGCCAUGCCGCGUGUGUGAAGAAGGCCCUCGGGUUGUAAAGCACUUUCAGCGAGGAAGAACGCCUAGUGGUUAAUACCCAUUAGGAAAGACAUCACUCGCAGAAGAAGCACCGGCUAACUCCGUGCCAGCAGCCGCGGUAAUACGGAGGGUGCAAGCGUUAAUCGGAAUUACUGGGCGUAAAGCGCGCGUAGGUGGCUUGAUAAGCCGKUUGUGAAAGCCCCGGGCUCAACCUGGGAACGGCAUCCGGAACUGUCAGGCUAGAGUGCAGGAGAGGAAGGUAGAAUUCCCGGUGUAGCGGUGAAAUGCGUAGAGAUCGGGAGGAAUACCAGUGGCGAAUGCGGCCUUCUGGACUGACACUGACACUGAGGUGCGAAAGCGUGGGUAGCAAACAGGAUUAGAUACCCUGGUAGUCCACGCCGUAAACGAUGUCGACCAGCCGUUGGGUGCCUAGCGCACUCUGUGGCUAAGUUAACGCGAUAAGUCGACCGCCUGGGGAGUACGGCCGCAAGGUUAAAACUCAAAUGAAUUGACGGGGGCCCGCACAAGCGGUGGAGCAUGUGGUUUAAUUCGAUGCAACGCGAAGAACCUUACCUACCCUUGACAUCUACAGAAGCCGGAAGAGAUUCUGGUGUGCCUUCGGGAACUGUAAGACUAGGUGUCUGCAUGCGCUGUCGUCAGCCUCGUGUUGUGAAAUGUUGGGUUAAGUCCCGUAACGAGCGCAACCCUUGUCCUUAUUUGCCAGCGAGUAAUGUCGGGAACUGUAAGGAGAUCUGCCGGUGACAAACCGGAGGAAGGUGGGGACGACGUCAAGUCAUCAUGGCCCUUACGGGUAGGGCUACACACGUGCUACAAUGGCCGGUACAAAGGGCUGCGAGCUCGCGAGAGUCAGCGAAUCCCUUAAAUGCCGGUCUCAGUCCGGAUCGGAGUCUGCAACUCGACUCCGGAAGUUGGAAUCGCUAGU